ACGAACGCUGGCGGCGUGCUUAACACCUGCAAGUCGAACGGAAAGGCCCUGCUUUUGUGGGGUGCUCGAGUGGCGAACGGGUGAGUAACACGUGAGUAACCUGCCCUUGACUUUGGGAUAACUUCAGGAAACUGGGGCUAAUACCGGAUAGGAGCUCCUGCUGCAUGGUGGGGGUUGGAAAGUUUCGGCGGUUGGGGAUGGACUCGCGGCUUAUCAGCUUGUUGGUGGGGUAGUGGCUUACCAAGGCUUUGACGGGUAGCCGGCCUGAGAGGGUGACCGGCCACAUUGGGACUGAGAUACGGCCCAGACUCCUACGGGAGGCAGCAGUGGGGAAUAUUGCACAAUGGGCGGAGGCCUGAUGCAGCAACGCCGCGUGCGGGAUGACGGCCUUCGGGUUGUAAACCGCUUUCGCCUGUGACGAAGCGUGAGUGACGGUAAUGGGUAAAGAAGCACCGGCUAACUACGUG
This 467-nucleotide ribosomal RNA is filed under the name uncultured bacterium. RNAcentral describes it as "partial 16S ribosomal RNA". It matches the Rfam family "Bacterial small subunit ribosomal RNA", at positions 29 to 507 of the family's 1533-position model. The record is from RNAcentral.